RNAcentral lists this ribosomal RNA (504 nucleotides) under uncultured bacterium. Its description in RNAcentral is "partial 16S ribosomal RNA". It matches the Rfam family "Bacterial small subunit ribosomal RNA", at positions 30 to 523 of the family's 1533-position model. The record is from RNAcentral.
AUUGAACGCUGGCGGCAGGCCUAACACAUGCAAGUCGAACGGUAGCACAGAGAGCUUGCUCUUGGGUGACGAGUGGCGGACGGGUGAGUAAUGUCUGGGAAACUGCCCGAUGGAGGGGGAUAACUACUGGAAACGGUAGCUAAUACCGCAUAACGUCUUCGGACCAAAGUGGGGGACCUUCGGGCCUCACACCAUCGGAUGUGCCCAGGUGGGAUUAGCUAGUAGGUGGGGUAAUGGCUCACCUAGGCGACGAUCCCUAGCUGGUCUGAGAGGAUGACCAGCCACACUGGAACUGGGACACGGUCCAGACUCCUACGGGAGGCAGCAGUGGGGAAUAUUGCACAAUGGGCGCAAGCCUGAUGCAGCCAUGCCGCGUGUAUGAAGAAGGCCUUCGGGUUGUAAAGUAUUUUCAGCGGGGAGGAAGGCGAUGGAGUUAAUAGCUUCAUCGAUUGACGUUACCCGCAGAAGAAGCACCGGCUAACUCCGUGCCAGCCGCCGCAGUAA